Molecule: non-coding RNA, 30 nt
Filed under: Homo sapiens (human)
Lineage: Eukaryota; Metazoa; Chordata; Mammalia; Primates; Hominidae
Source: RNAcentral
UGCUACAUGUGAUGCAAAGCUCAUCCCCAA